AGCGCAUACGGUGGAUGCCUUGGCAGUCAGAGGCGAUGAAAGACGUGGUAGCCUGCGAAAAGCUUCGGGGAGUCGGCAAACAGACUUUGAUCCGGAGAUCUCUGAAUGGGGGAACCCACCUAGGAUAACCUAGGUAUCUUGUACUGAAUCCAUAGGUGCAAGAGGCGAACCAGGGGAACUGAAACAUCUAAGUACCCUGAGGAAAAGAAAUCAACCGAGAUUCCCUUAGUAGUGGCGAGCGAACGGGGAUUAGCCCUUAAGCUUCAUUGAUUUUAGCGGAACGCUCUGGAAAGUGCGGCCAUAGUGGGUGAUAGCCCCGUACGCGAAAGGAUCUUUGAAGUGAAAUCGAGUAGGACGGAGCACGAGAAACUUUGUCUGAACAUGGGGGGACCAUCCUCCAAGGCUAAAUACUACUGACUGACCGAUAGUGAACCAGUACCGUGAGGGAAAGGCGAAAAGAACCCCGGAGAGGGGAGUGAAAUAGAACCUGAAACCGUAUGCGUACAAGCAGUGGGAGCCUACUUGUUAGGUGACUGCGUACCUUUUGUAUAAUGGGUCAGCGACUUAUAUUCAGUGGCAAGCUUAACCGUAUAGGGUAGGCGUAGCGAAAGCGAGUCUUAAUAGGGCGUUUAGUCGCUGGGUAUAGACCCGAAACCGGGCGAUCUAUCCAUGAGCAGGUUGAAGGUUAGGUAACACUGACUGGAGGACCGAACCCACUCCCGUUGAAAAGGUAGGGGAUGACUUGUGGAUCGGAGUGAAAGGCUAAUCAAGCUCGGAGAUAGCUGGUUCUCCUCGAAAGCUAUUUAGGUAGCGCCUCAUGUAUCACUCUGGGGGGUAGAGCACUGUUUCGGCUAGGGGGUCAUCCCGACUUACCAAACCGAUGCAAACUCCGAAUACCCAGAAGUGCCGAGCAUGGGAGACACACGGCGGGUGCUAACGUCCGUCGUGAAAAGGGAAACAACCCAGACCGCCAGCUAAGGUCCCAAAGUUGUGGUUAAGUGGUAAACGAUGUGGGAAGGCUUAGACAGCUAGGAGGUUGGCUUAGAAGCAGCCACCCUUUAAAGAAAGCGUAAUAGCUCACUAGUCGAGUCGGCCUGCGCGGAAGAUGUAACGGGGCUCAAACCACACACCGAAGCUGCGGGUGUCACGUAAGUGACGCGGUAGAGGAGCGUUCUGUAAGCCUGUGAAGGUGAGUUGAGAAGCUUGCUGGAGGUAUCAGAAGUGCGAAUGCUGACAUGAGUAACGACAAUGGGUGUGAAAAACACCCACGCCGAAAGACCAAGGGUUCCUGCGCAACGUUAAUCGACGCAGGGUUAGUCGGUUCCUAAGGCGAGGCUGAAAAGCGUAGUCGAUGGGAAACAGGUUAAUAUUCCUGUACUUCUGGUUACUGCGAUGGAGGGACGGAGAAGGCUAGGCCAGCUUGGCGUUGGUUGUCCAAGUUUAAGGUGGUAGGCUGAAAUCUUAGGUAAAUCCGGGGUUUCAAGGCCGAGAGCUGAUGACGAGUCGUCUUUUAGAUGACGAAGUGGUUGAUGCCAUGCUUCCAAGAAAAGCUUCUAAGCUUCAGGUAACCAGGAACCGUACCCCAAACCGACACAGGUGGUCGGGUAGAGAAUACCAAGGCGCUUGAGAGAACUCGGGUGAAGGAACUAGGCAAAAUGGCACCGUAACUUCGGGAGAAGGUGCGCCGGCUAGGGUGAAGGAUUUACUCCGUAAGCUCUGGCUGGUCGAAGAUACCAGGCCGCUGCGACUGUUUAUUAAAAACACAGCACUCUGCAAACACGAAAGUGGACGUAUAGGGUGUGACGCCUGCCCGGUGCCGGAAGGUUAAUUGAUGGGGUUAGCGCAAGCGAAGCUCUUGAUCGAAGCCCCGGUAAACGGCGGCCGUAACUAUAACGGUCCUAAGGUAGCGAAAUUCCUUGUCGGGUAAGUUCCGACCUGCACGAAUGGCGUAACGAUGGCGGCGCUGUCUCCACCCGAGACUCAGUGAAAUUGAAAUCGCUGUGAAGAUGCAGUGUAUCCGCGGCUAGACGGAAAGACCCCGUGAACCUUUACUGUAGCUUUGCACUGGACUUUGAGCCUGCUUGUGUAGGAUAGGUGGGAGGCUUUGAAGCGUGGACGCCAGUUCGCGUGGAGCCAUCCUUGAAAUACCACCCUGGCAUGCUUGAGGUUCUAACUCUGGUCCGUAAUCCGGAUCGAGGACAGUGUAUGGUGGGCAGUUUGACUGGGGCGGUCUCCUCCUAAAGAGUAACGGAGGAGUACGAAGGUGCGCUCAGACCGGUCGGAAAUCGGUCGCAGAGUAUAAAGGCAAAAGCGCGCUUGACUGCGAGACAGACACGUCGAGCAGGUACGAAAGUAGGUCUUAGUGAUCCGGUGGUUCUGUAUGGAAGGGCCAUCGCUCAACGGAUAAAAGGUACUCCGGGGAUAACAGGCUGAUACCGCCCAAGAGUUCAUAUCGACGGCGGUGUUUGGCACCUCGAUGUCGGCUCAUCACAUCCUGGGGCUGAAGCCGGUCCCAAGGGUAUGGCUGUUCGCCAUUUAAAGUGGUACGCGAGCUGGGUUUAGAACGUCGUGAGACAGUUCGGUCCCUAUCUGCCGUGGACGUUUGAGAUUUGAGAGGGGCUGCUCCUAGUACGAGAGGACCGGAGUGGACGAACCUCUGGUGUUCCGGUUGUCACGCCAGUGGCAUUGCCGGGUAGCUAUGUUCGGAAAAGAUAACCGCUGAAAGCAUCUAAGCGGGAAACUUGCCUCAAGAUGAGAUCUCACUGGGAACUUGAUUCCCCUGAAGGGCCGUCGAAGACUACGACGUUGAUAGGCUGGGUGUGUAAGCGUUGU
RNAcentral lists this ribosomal RNA (2832 nucleotides) under Pseudomonas aeruginosa. RNAcentral's name for it is "bacterial LSU rRNA". It matches the Rfam family "Bacterial large subunit ribosomal RNA". The record is from RNAcentral. Lineage: Bacteria; Pseudomonadati; Pseudomonadota; Gammaproteobacteria; Pseudomonadales; Pseudomonadaceae. RNAcentral also lists the same sequence under 2 other names.